AUUGAACGCUGGCGGCAUGCCUUACACAUGCAAGUCGAACGGCAGCACGGGUGCUUGCACCUGGUGGCGAGUGGCGAACGGGUGAGUAAUACAUCGGAACGUACCUUAUCGUGGGGGAUAACGCAGCGAAAGCUGUGCUAAUACCGCAUACGCCCUGAGGGGGAAAGCGGGGGAUCGAAAGACCUCGCGCGACUAGAGCGGCCGAUGCCUGAUUAGCUUGUUGGUGGGGUAAAAGCCCACCAAGGCGACGAUCAGUAGCUGGUCUGAGAGGACGAGCAGCCACACUGGGACUGAGACACGGCCCAGACUCCUACUGGAGGCAGCAGUGGGGGCUUUUGGACAAUGGGGGCAACCCUGAUCCAGCAAUGCCGCGUGAGUGAAGAAGGCCUUCGGGUUGUAAAGCUCUUUUGUCAGGGAAGAAACACCGGCUCUAACACAGUCCGGGAAUGACGGUACCUGAAGAAUAAGCACCGGCUAACUACGUGCCAGCCGCCGCGGUAA
Molecule: ribosomal RNA, 501 nt
Filed under: uncultured bacterium
Lineage: Bacteria
Description: partial 16S ribosomal RNA
Rfam family: Bacterial small subunit ribosomal RNA
Source: RNAcentral